Non-coding RNA from Schistosoma mansoni, 45 nucleotides. The record is from Rfam. Lineage: Eukaryota; Metazoa; Platyhelminthes; Trematoda; Strigeidida; Schistosomatidae.
AUCCAUCUGACAAGUCCCGAAUAGGACGAAACGCGCAUCCUGGAU